Molecule: small nuclear RNA, 107 nt
Organism: Psammomys obesus (fat sand rat)
Lineage: Eukaryota; Metazoa; Chordata; Mammalia; Rodentia; Muridae
Source: RefSeq, a predicted model, not a curated record
GUGUUCACUUAGUCAGCACAUAUACUGAAAUUGGAAAGAUACAGAGAAGACUAGGAUGGCUACUGAGCAAGGAUCAUAAAAUUCCACCAUUCUUUCUCUUCAUCUUA